UAUUGCUGCUCGGGGGCGCGGGGAGCGUUGUGAACUGUUCUGUGUAUCAGGUGCAGGGCAAGCGUUCUGCUGCCAGCAGCAGCGAGCCUCCGCUCCAGGCUCUCGCCAGGCGGUUCCUAGGGGAAUCAGAAGGCGCCGGCCUUUGCCACCUUGAUUGGCAUUAGGCGAGACUUCCGUGAGCUAUGCGUGUUUCCCUUAUAUGUAAGGAGCCUUUCCUCUCCGCGGUAGGCGAGAAGAUGGGAUAACCGGCUGAUUUUCUUCUCCCGGGGUGGGGUGGGGGAAGCUCCAGAACCAUGCGAGUCCUAGGGAGACCGGGUAACACCGGGGCACAUCAGCGUCCUUGUGUGCUCCACGGCCUCGCUUCUUUGAUGAAAGGCUCCAGGGCACCAGCGGUCACCACCGGGCCAUCUCAUUGGAAGGGACCUGCACAGGACAGCGAGUCCAGCUCACCGCUUUUGGAGGAAAUGUGGUUUAUGAAGAUUUCUCAGUGUGAGAUCUCGUGAACCGUUCCUUUAACUAAAAACCAAACCAGAUAUUCCUUCUCCUCUACUUGCCUGUGGCUGCUGGAAACAUCAGCAAAGUCCUUGGUGAAUUCCUGCUGUGGUUCUAUUGCGAUCGUCCAGGUGUUGUUAGAGAGUGCUGACUGAUUUGCCAUCUGAUCGAUCUGAUUUUUGUAACCCGGCAGCUCCUCUCCAAACCCGUGAACCAGCCGUGGAGAGUGGCCUCGGAAAGUGUUCCAGGGACGGACUUUCUGCAGUAUGAUGACCUGUAAAAGCGGCCUUUCCAACGACAUUUCAAACUCCAAGUCAGUCGUGUCAAAGUUGGAACCAGGGCUGGGGAGGAUAAUGGGUCAGAUGCAAUUAGCAGCUCAGAGAGCUGCACGUUGCAGUCUGAUUUAUUUUUUUGCCCAUCAGAUUCCAAGAAUCCUAGUGCUUAAAAGCAAUGAAACAAUUGCCCUAUUGUACUGAAAUAAAGCCCAGUUAAUUCAAAAAUCAGUUGCACCACCAGGUGGGGCACAUUGUGGCCCAAACAGAUGGGGUCGAAAACUUCCCCCAAAAUGCAGUCUUGUUAAAUUAAAAACUUGAUCCAGGGUGGGACAAAUAGGGAGCUGUGAAUGGAAUGGAGUCAGGUCCACCCAAGCGAAUUCUUUCUUCUUCCACUCCUUUCCUGGCCUGUAAGAGAGAAAAAUGCACCAUUCCACUUUCAUCAGAGCUAGCAUCUAUGCAGCAACGCAGCCAUCCGCCAUCUGCAGUAAAUGUGUUACUUUAAUUAGUCUGAAAAUUAAAGGGCAACGCUGGGCCAAUGUGAAUGAUGAUGAAAAUACAUGUGCAUCCCAUGCAAUCGUCUCAUUUAAUUAAUAGUCUUGUAAACUGUACGGCUCACUUUAAGUCAGUCGAGAGGUAUAACAACUCCAUUUUAAAUAUCCACUUAAUACUUAACAGGCUGUGAGGAACACACUAUAGCAUACAGCCCCUGCUCAGGUUUCACUGUCUGAAAUUUUUCAAAGCUGACCCAAGUCAACCCGAAAAAUGUUUAACACCCUGGGCUUGAACACAAGCAACUCUGUGAUGAACAGACAUUCAAUUACAUUUUGAAAAAGUGAGAAGCAUUUUUGUAAAAUAGCGACCCUGGAAACUAAUUGGCAGCCACAGAACUUGUGAGCGAAGGCCAAAUCUUGUGGGGAACUUUUACUACACUAACACGACUCAAAGAACAUGUGAAUAAAAGGCAUCUUUGUUUCCCAGUCAAAUUAGUUGAUUAAGAAAUAAAACGU
Long non-coding RNA from Lepus europaeus (European hare), 1774 nucleotides. RefSeq lists it as uncharacterized. The record is from RefSeq and is a predicted model, not a curated record. NCBI's taxonomy places the organism in Eukaryota, Metazoa, Chordata, Mammalia, Lagomorpha, Leporidae. The transcript is spliced from 3 exons.